This 463-nucleotide ribosomal RNA is filed under the name uncultured bacterium. Its description in RNAcentral is "partial 16S ribosomal RNA". It matches the Rfam family "Bacterial small subunit ribosomal RNA", at positions 28 to 507 of the family's 1533-position model. The record is from RNAcentral.
GACGAACGCUGGCGGCGUGCUUAACACAUGCAAGUCGAACGGAAAGGCCUUUUCGGAGGUACUCGAGUGGCGAACGGGUGAGUAACACGUGGGUGAUCUGCCCUGCACUCUGGGAUAAGCCUGGGAAACUGGGUCUAAUACCGGAUAGGACCGCACUUUAGUGUGUGUGGUGGAAAGUUUUUUCGGUGUAGGAUGAGCCCGCGGCCUAUCAGCUUGUUGGUGGGGUAAUGGCCUACCAAGGCGGCGACGGGUAGCCGGACUGAGAGGUUGGUCGGCCACAUUGGGACUGAGAUACGGCACAGACUCCUACGGGAGGCAGCAGUGGGGAAUAUUGCACAAUGGGCGCAAGCCUGAUGCAGCGACGCCGCGGGGGGGAUGACGGCCUUCGGGUUGUAAACUACUUUCGCCAGGGACGAAGCGUUUUGUGACGGUACCUGGAGAAGAAGCACCGGCUAACUACGUG